Molecule: ribosomal RNA, 492 nt
Filed under: uncultured bacterium
Lineage: Bacteria
Description: partial 16S ribosomal RNA
Rfam family: Bacterial small subunit ribosomal RNA
Source: RNAcentral
AGUGAACGCUGGCGGUAGGCCUAACACAUGCAAGUCGAACGGCAGCACAGUAAGAGCUUGCUCUUACGGGUGGCGAGUGGCGGACGGGCGAGGAAUACAUCGGAAUCUACUUUUUCGUGGGGGAUAACGUAGGGAAACUUACGCUAAUACCGCAUACGACCUACGGGUGAAAGCAGGGGAUCUUCGGACCUUGCGCGAUUGAAUGAGCCGAUGUCGGAUUAGCUAGUUGGCGGGGUAAAGGCCCACCAAGGCGACGAUCCGUAGCUGGUCUGAGAGGAUGAUCAGCCACACUGGAACUGAGACACGGUCCAGACUCCUACGGGAGGCAGCAGUGGGGAAUAUUGGACAAUGGGCGCAAGCCUGAUCCAGCUAUACCGCGUGGGUGAAGAAGGCCUUCGGGUUGUAAAGCCCUUUUGUUGGGAAAGAAAAGCAGCAGGUUAAUACCCCGCUGUUCUGACGGUACCCAAAGAAUAAGCACCGGCUAACUUCGUG